AUGCCCACUUCCGCAGCACAUAUACUAAAAUUGGAACGAUAUGGAGAUUAGCAUGGCCCCUGUGCAAGGAUGACACACAAAUUCAUGAAGCAUUCUAUAUUUUU
Gorilla gorilla gorilla (western lowland gorilla) is the source of this 104-nucleotide small nuclear RNA. NCBI's taxonomy places the organism in Eukaryota, Metazoa, Chordata, Mammalia, Primates, Hominidae. The record is from RefSeq and is a predicted model, not a curated record.